UGGGGAAUAUUGGACAAUGGGCGAAAGCCUGAUCCAGCCAUGCCGCGUGUGUGAAGAAGGUCUUCGGAUUGUAAAGCACUUUAAGUUGGGAGGAAGGGCAGUAAGCGAAUACCUUGCUGUUUUGACGUUACCGACAGAAUAAGCACCGGCUAACUCUGUGCCAGCAGCCGCGGUAAUACAGAGGGUGCAAGCGUUAAUCGGAAUUACUGGGCGUAAAGCGCGCGUAGGUGGUUCGUUAAGUUGAAUGUGAAAGCCCCGGGCUCAACCUGGGAACUGCAUCCGAAACUGGCGAGCUAGAGUAGGGCAGAGGGUGGUGGAAUUUCCUGUGUAGCGGUGAAAUGCGUAGGUAUAGGAAGGAACACCAGUGGCGAAGGCGACCACCUGGGCUCAUACUGACACUGAGGUGCGAAAGCGUGGGGAGCAAACAGG
This 429-nucleotide ribosomal RNA is filed under the name Pseudomonadota bacterium. RNAcentral describes it as "Proteobacteria bacterium partial 16S ribosomal RNA". It matches the Rfam family "Bacterial small subunit ribosomal RNA", at positions 355 to 776 of the family's 1533-position model. Lineage: Bacteria; Pseudomonadati; Pseudomonadota. The record is from RNAcentral.